GAUGAAUAUUUUAAUAGAUAUAAAUUAUUUGAAAGCUAUUACCAUUUUUUAAUUUGUCUACGAGAACAGUAACAAAGGGUUCCAUUGUUAUUAGGCAAAAUUGUCAAUUGAAAGGGAUUGCUAAGAAUAGUCAGUAUAUUUCCAACUUGUCAGUGAGUAACAUAGUAAAUUACGCUCGGAAGUAAUUCAGUUUGUUCACAUCACUUCUGACUGAUAGUACUAAAGAAGAAUAAUGAUUUCUUCAAAAUGGAAUCAAAAGUUAUGAAAAUUUUAUUCUGUUAAUAGAGUAAUUCUUUGAUUUAUCUAAAAGACAAACACUAAAUUAUACAGUAACAAAAAAUUUUAAGGCAGUUAAUUCAAAUAAUGCUGCAGUUUUAGUCGUUUUAAUUCUAUUAUUAUCAAACCAUAGUUUUAUCAUAUUUAUCUUGGCUAGUAACUGGAUUAUUUUUUUACGCCUAACAAGUAUACAUUGAACAUUUUCCCACAGAUUGCAAUCAUGGUCAAGAGUUAUUAUUAAGCUAUGUCAACAAACUUUUGUACGUCAUUUAUAUGCACGGUAAUUUUUAAUAAUUCAAACAAUACGCAAGAGGAGAUUAAUGUUAUCCAAAAAUAUAAAUAAAUAAUUUGUAAAUAUUUUUUCCAUCCGGUAAUAUUUUAUAUAUUUUCCAGCUUCCACAAACCCAGACCUCUGAUAAUUUUAAAAUUGUACGGCAAUAUCAUACUAACAUAAUAAUAUAAUAUAAUUUAUAUGGCUUAUAUCCUAAGAUAUUAUAAAUUGUAAAUAGAAGUCGUUAAUGAC
Cotesia glomerata is the source of this 799-nucleotide long non-coding RNA. RefSeq lists it as uncharacterized. Lineage: Eukaryota; Metazoa; Arthropoda; Insecta; Hymenoptera; Braconidae. The transcript has 3 exons. The record is from RefSeq and is a predicted model, not a curated record.